RNAcentral lists this ribosomal RNA (218 nucleotides) under uncultured bacterium. RNAcentral's name for it is "partial 16S ribosomal RNA". It matches the Rfam family "Bacterial small subunit ribosomal RNA", at positions 111 to 334 of the family's 1533-position model. The record is from RNAcentral.
UAAUGUAUGGGGAUCUGCCCGAUAGAGGGGAUAACUACUGGAAACGGUGGCUAAUACCGCAUAAUGUCUACGGACCAAAGCAGGGGCUCUUCGGACCUUGCACUAUCGGAUGAACCCAUAUGGAUUAGCUAGUAGGUGGGGUAAAGGCUCACCUAGGCGACGAUCUCUAGCUGGUCUGAGAGGAUGAUCAGCCACACUGGGACUGAGACACGGCCCAG